Molecule: long non-coding RNA, 947 nt
Filed under: Monodelphis domestica (gray short-tailed opossum)
Lineage: Eukaryota; Metazoa; Chordata; Mammalia; Didelphimorphia; Didelphidae
Description: lncRNA (ENSMODG00000047475.1)
Source: RNAcentral
AUUGACACUCAAACUGUUGUGCCAGAGUAGAGUUUUGAGAAUCUCUUGGAUUGUAAGAAAAUAAAAUCAGUCAAUACUUAAAAAUUUUAUUCAGACAACUCACUGGAAGGUCAAAUGCUGAAGCUUAAACUAAUAAUCAGGUCAUCAGAAUGCAGGACUCAUUGGAAAGGACCCUGAUGCUGGAAAUAUUGAAGGAAAAAGAAGAAAGAAACAAUGGAGGAUAAGAUGGAUAGAUAGUGUCAUGGAAACAAUGAACAUGAGCUUCAGAAGAUAGUGAAACAUAGAUGAUCCUGGCAUGCUUUGGUUGACAAAUAAACAAUUAAACAACAAUACAAUACAAGUAUUUGAGAAUUGUGAAACAAAGCAUGCUAUUAUCUCAAAGGGAGAUGUUGCUUACUGAGAACUCAAGAAAUGAUUAUGGAGAAGAUAACAUUUGAAUCAGGAUUUUAAGAAUGAGUAGGAAUCCAGUGGUCAAAGAAGUAUAAUCAUAGACUUAUAGGUGGAAAGACCUUAGAGGGCAGAACCAGGAGUAAUGACCAGAAGUCACAAAUUGUCUUAAACAUAGGAAAAGUCUUCUAAAUAAUGAGAUCUACAUUAAAACAGAUGAGUUUCAAGUGAUGAUAGUUUCAAUAGAGAUUUGACUUGGAAAGAGCCAAAGGAAAUGAAGAAAGAUUCAUCAAGAGAUAGGAUAGUGACCAAGAUCUAGAAGAGAGAUUCCUGGGCAGCAUAAUAGUGGUACUGUUACUUGCUGGGUUUUGAUGGCUACUCAUCUAAAAGACUUUGGAAAUACAACAUAUUCUGUAGCAGCUUUUCAAAUCUGUGCUUGCAUAUCAUUUUACUUAUUUAGGGUCUUGUAUGAGAAGAAGAAUAACAGAGAUUAUGGAAGGGAAUCAGAAGUGGUAAAUCUUGAUAAUCCUGAGAAGCACAGAAAGCCUUCAAAGAGCUAA